RNAcentral lists this ribosomal RNA (244 nucleotides) under uncultured Staphylococcus sp. RNAcentral describes it as "partial 16S ribosomal RNA". It matches the Rfam family "Bacterial small subunit ribosomal RNA", at positions 96 to 334 of the family's 1533-position model. The record is from RNAcentral. Lineage: Bacteria; Bacillati; Bacillota; Bacilli; Caryophanales; Staphylococcaceae.
CGGCGGACGGGUGAGUAACACGUGGAUAACCUACCUAUAAGACUGGGAUAACUUCGGGAAACCGGAGCUAAUACCGGAUAAUAUAUUGAACCGCAUGGUUCAAUAGUGAAAGACGGUUUUGCUGUCACUUAUAGAUGGAUCCGCGCCGCAUUAGCUAGUUGGUAAGGUAACGGCUUACCAAGGCAACGAUGCGUAGCCGACCUGAGAGGGUGAUCGGCCACACUGGAGCUGAGACACGGUCCAG